This 253-nucleotide ribosomal RNA is filed under the name uncultured bacterium. Its description in RNAcentral is "partial 16S ribosomal RNA". It matches the Rfam family "Bacterial small subunit ribosomal RNA", at positions 524 to 776 of the family's 1533-position model. The record is from RNAcentral.
UACGUAGGGUGCGAGCGUUGUCCGGAAUUAUUGGGCGUAAAGAGCUCGUAGGCGGCUUGUCACGUCGGGUGUGAAAGCCCGGGGCUUAACCCCGGGUCUGCAUUCGAUACGGGCUAGCUAGAGUGUGGUAGGGGAGAUCGGAAUUCCUGGUGUAGCGGUGAAAUGCGCAGAUAUCAGGAGGAACACCGGUGGCGAAGGCGGAUCUCUGGGCCGAUACUGACGCUGAGGAGCGAAAGCGUGGGGAGCGAACAGG